RNAcentral lists this ribosomal RNA (535 nucleotides) under uncultured bacterium. RNAcentral's name for it is "bacterial SSU rRNA". It matches the Rfam family "Bacterial small subunit ribosomal RNA", at positions 355 to 896 of the family's 1533-position model. The record is from RNAcentral.
UGGGGAAUAUUGGACAAUGGGCGCAAGCCUGAUCCAGCAACGCCGCGUGGGGGAUGAAGCUUUUCGGAGUGUAAACCCCUUUCGACCCGGAAGAAUGCCCGCAAGGGUUUGACGGUACGGGUAUAAGAAGCCCCGGCUAACUACGUGCCAGCAGCCGCGGUAAUACGUAGGGGGCCAGCGUUGCUCGGAAUUACUGGGCGUAAAGGGUCCGUAGGCGGUGUGGCAAGUCGGGAGUGAAAUCUCUGGGCUUAACCCAGAGGCUGCUUCCGAAACUGCCAUGCUAGAGUGUGAGAGAGGCGAGUGGAAUUACGGGUGUAGCGGUGAAAUGCGUAGAUAUCCGUAGGAACAUCCGAGGCGAAGGCGGCUCGCUGGAUCACAACUGACGCUGAGGGACGAAAGCUAGGGGAGCAAACAGGAUUAGAUACCCUGGUAGUCCUAGCCCUAAACCAUCAGGACUUGGGGUGUGCCCUGUACGGGGCACGUCCCGUAGCUAACGCGUUAAGUCCUGCGCCUGGGGAGUACGGUCGCAAGGCUG